Pan troglodytes (chimpanzee) is the source of this 2162-nucleotide long non-coding RNA. RefSeq lists it as uncharacterized. The transcript has 4 exons. NCBI's taxonomy places the organism in Eukaryota, Metazoa, Chordata, Mammalia, Primates, Hominidae. The record is from RefSeq and is a predicted model, not a curated record.
AAUAAAUGACUCUAGUGGUAGCAUUUCAUGUAGGCAGGUCCAAGGAAGACAGAUUUGUAGACAGAGUUGGGAAAAGGGUCAAAGAGCCAAUGAGUCUCCCUAUCCUGAGGGAUGCCUUGACAGAGCCACAACAUGAACUCAUGUUUUCCUGAAUCCAUCUCAGUUCAUGUGACAGGAUGGAAAUGCUUCCUUUCUUAGCCAGUGUUGCUUGUAACGAGUUCCCUGCAGCUCAGGGAAGGGAGCAACAUGUACUGCUUUGUUGCUUCCUGUAUGGAGAAGGCAGGAAUGAGGAAGUUCAGAGAACACUGUCCUGAGCAGCUGCCACAGGAGACCCAGCCCAAGCUCUGCAUGCAGAAAGGCACAUGGCAAGAAAUACCCAUCCUGCACACGUGGAUGUGAUGGACACCCUCACUCCUUAAAUUUUGAGGCAACUAGACUGAAAAGGGCUCUUGCUUGAUUUAAACAAUUGAACUCUUCCUUUUGGCUCAGGCAUCUUGUUGCUUCUUGCACUGGCUUUGCCACUGACCUUGGAGAGCCGGUCAAAGUCUUGGAGGUGGAAACGAACUGCCAACUGAUUAACCAUUUUCCUUAAGGUAAGCACCUCUUCCUACUAGUGGACUCAUCUCAGAAGAUUUCAAAAACAAAAGUCUCAAGUGACGCGGAUAUUUCCACCUGGUUGUAGUGGGAUAGGCUGGAUUGAUGAUUUUUCACACUAAGCUCUGAGUGUUCCAAUGAGUUCCUUGGAAGUCUCUCAGGAUCAACAGGGCUCUGCUAAAGAAAGAUGCAAACUUUUGAUAAUCUACCCUUGAAGAAAAGCUCCUUGGAAUUUGGACCUACAGUUUGAAAAUUUGGCAUGCUACACCAACACUACAGUGACAAGGGAAAAAAUUGUUUGUGACAGAGAAAAAUUACCUGCAAUUUACAAUACCCAGCUGCCUCCAAAGGAGGUUCUUUGCUGAACAGAGUGAUGGGUAUGAGGAUGCAGGGUUAAGAGAGUUCACCAAAUUGUUCUGCAUUAGAAAAAUCCUGUUUAUUCAUUUAUUGUAGGAGGUAGGCAGGGGUGAGUCAGGGUGAAUGGAAAAUGAAUGAGAUCCAGAAGAACCAGGGAAAAUGUGGAGCCUUUGUGUGGCAAGAUUGAAGGGUGGGAAAGUGGCUAAGGGGAACUUUCUGAGGAGACCCCAGAUGUUAAACAGGAAUUUUUAUUAAAAUUUGCUAUGUGGUGCUCCAUAUAAUCCUUUCAUGCCUUUCUCCAUAAAACCUACAAUAAUGUCUAUAUUUCUUAUCACUAUUUUGAAGGAAAAUGAGUUUGUUCUUGGUGAGAAGUACAAGAACAAAUUGAAGCGUUAAGUCCCACUUCAAGGUGCUUGUGACCCCAGGACAGGGCUGCCUAUGAGGCCCAGGAACAUCUGGGUCCCAUUACUUAAAAAUCAGCAACCUCUCCUCUGGCUGAAGAUAUGCAUUAUUUUUAAAAAGCAGAAAGAAAGAACAAACACCUAGAAACCAUUGUCUUGGGGCCUAGGACAAUACGGCUCAGCUCUGAAGGAUAAAGGUAGAGUUUUACCAGCCAAAGGUACACAAAGUCCAAAAGACUGGCCUUAACUCAGUGAUGUAGUUUGGAUAUUUGUCCCUGCCCAACUCUCAUGUUGAAUUCUAAUUCCCAGUGCUGGAGGUGGGGCCUGGUGGGAGGUAUUUGGGUCAUGGGGGUGGAUUCCUCAUGGCUUGGUUCUGUCUUCAUGAUAGUGAAUGGGUUCGCAAGAUAUCUGGUCAUUUAAAAGUGUGCGGCACUCCCCUACUCUUCCUUUUGCUCUUGCUCUGGCCAUGUGACAUGGCUGCUCCCCCUUCACCUUCCACCAUGAUUGUAAGCUUCCUGUGGCCUCUCUAGAAGUCGAGUCGAUGCCAGCACCAUGCUUCCUGUACAGCCUGUAGAACUGUGAGCAAUUAAACCUCUUUUCUUUAUAAAUUGUCCACUCUCAGAUAUUUCUUUAUAGCAACGCAAGAAUGGCCUAACACACUCAGAACUUCUCUAUGUACCUCACAAAAUGGUUAUAAGGCCCUCAACUCUUAAACUUUCUGUUGUAAACAUUGUUGAUAUUGAGAAUAUUUACCUGAUGCUGCAAAAUUUGUGUGAAAAGUCAAAGAAUAAAAGUGUUUAAUAAAUCCCA